This 465-nucleotide ribosomal RNA is filed under the name Vreelandella stevensii. Its description in RNAcentral is "partial 16S ribosomal RNA". It matches the Rfam family "Bacterial small subunit ribosomal RNA", at positions 338 to 795 of the family's 1533-position model. Lineage: Bacteria; Pseudomonadati; Pseudomonadota; Gammaproteobacteria; Oceanospirillales; Halomonadaceae. The record is from RNAcentral.
CCUACGGGAGGCUGCAGUGGGGAAUAUUGGACAAUGGGGGCAACCCUGAUCCAGCCAUGCCGCGUGUGUGAAGAAGGCCCUCGGGUUGUAAAGCACUUUCAGUGAGGAAGAACGCCUGGUGGUUAAUACCCAUCAGGAAAGACAUCACUCACAGAAGAAGCACCGGCUAACUCCGUGCCAGCAGCCGCGGUAAUACGGAGGGUGCGAGCGUUAAUCGGAAUUACUGGGCGUAAAGCGCGCGUAGGUGGCUUGAUAAGCCGGUUGUGAAAGCCCCGGGCUCAACCUGGGAACGGCAUCCGGAACUGUCAAGCUAGAGUGCAGGAGAGGAAGGUAGAAUUCCCGGUGUAGCGGUGAAAUGCGUAGAGAUCGGGAGGAAUACCAGUGGCGAAGGCGGCCUUCUGGACUGACACUGACACUGAGGUGCGAAAGCGUGGGUAGCAAACAGGAUUAGAUACCCCAGUAGUU